AGAGAGAGAGAGAGAGAUGGUUGGGAAGAGGAGAAGAGAAAGCGGAAAAGAGAAAGAGGAGAAAAACCCUAGUCUGUUCUUCAUGAAAUUAUUCAAGGUAAAGAGCCGGUCAUUCGGGAGGUGCCGAAACCUUAGUUUGGCAUACUUCGGUCGACACAAAGGUGAGUGUGUUUGAUAUGGUUAUGUUCAAUAAGGUAUUACAUGGUGGUGAUUGUAUAUCAUGCUAAUUGGGAUUUAGCUAAUGAUAUGUGUUUGUUGAGUGUUGAUUGUACUCGCUAAAGGAUUGUGGAGUGAGUCACACCAUAUCGUGGGUCAUGCCGUUGAAUUAACGGUGAAUGGGAAUGUGGUGUGCGGGACACAAUACCUUGGGUACAUGGGAUAUGGCAGACGUGCCACUGUAUGUUGGUGUUUAUACAUGUGGUUAUACAAUUGAGUACUUAUGUUGAGUUUUGUGUGGUUUACAUUCAAGUGAGAUAUUCCUUUGGGUAUUGUAGUAUUUUAUUGAAUGUAUUCUAUAUAUCACACACUCUGG
Molecule: long non-coding RNA, 532 nt
Organism: Rhododendron vialii
Lineage: Eukaryota; Viridiplantae; Streptophyta; Magnoliopsida; Ericales; Ericaceae
Exons: 2
Source: RefSeq, a predicted model, not a curated record